CGCUGCCCGAGUCCACGAAAAGAGCCGAGCAGAGCCGAAGAUUACACUAACCUGCUUGGAUUGGUUGGAUCGCCAAUAGGAAGGGAGGCAGCGCGCUAGCUGGCUGGCACGGCCUAUAAAAGCUAAGCCACGCCUCGUCCCCGCCUUCCCUCGAGCGGCUCUUGAGGUGUAAAUGCAAGUAUGUUUCUCUGGGUGAGUCUGUGAGUCUACGGAGAGAGCUGGAAGACAACGUUUCGGUGUGUUAAAAGAGCUACUAAAAAUUCAGUAAGCACAAAGCCUUAAGGGCGCCGUUUGCCCCAAGUCAAGGUGCCCACGCUUUCUUGCUCAGGUGCACUCCAGGCACCAGGGAAUCUUAGGGCCGGGUCUGGAAGGAUGACAUCACUAGUUGACAUUUUCUCCUACUUUUUUCUGACCACUGUGCUAUAUCAGGGUUUCAAGUGCUUAGAAAAACUAAUUGUAGCACCGAUUUGCAUCUCGUUUGCUGUCUGUGAAGAACGCCAGUGUGAGUAUGACUGAAUCUUUUACCACUCUCCUCAUGCUGUUUCCCAAAGGAGAAGGUCAAGAAGUGACUGGUUUACCAGCUUUGGAAGAGUAAUGGUAAAAAGCAGCUAAGGGGUCUGGGGAUAUUGCUCAAUGUUAGAGCAACUGUGCCUAAUCAGAUGACAUCCCUCAGAGUCUGUGAUCUGUCCCAGGACCCAGUACCAUCCAGGACACAAAAUUAAGCCAGUCUCGCUAAAUGGAGAAGAAACGUCUGCAAUAUAGAAAACACUUUCAUAAAAUUCACGAACGUUUAAAUAUUGUCCUCAAUUCCCACCAAAGCAUUUUGUACUCACUACCCCCCAAAAAAGAAGAAGAAAAUAGGGCCAGG
Molecule: long non-coding RNA, 868 nt
Filed under: Heterocephalus glaber (naked mole-rat)
Lineage: Eukaryota; Metazoa; Chordata; Mammalia; Rodentia; Bathyergidae
Description: lncRNA (ENSHGLG00000038300.1)
Source: RNAcentral